AGAGUGUGUGUGUGUGUGUGUGCGUGUGUGUGUGUGUGUGUGUGCGCACACACACACACACACACACACAGCCAUACUCU
Molecule: microRNA precursor, 80 nt
Filed under: Podarcis lilfordi (Lilford's wall lizard)
Lineage: Eukaryota; Metazoa; Chordata; Lepidosauria; Squamata; Lacertidae
Source: RNAcentral